RNAcentral lists this long non-coding RNA (504 nucleotides) under Mytilus galloprovincialis (Mediterranean mussel). The record is from RNAcentral. Lineage: Eukaryota; Metazoa; Mollusca; Bivalvia; Mytilida; Mytilidae.
CAAUAUAAUGUGGUUUAAUGCCAUGUUGAUUAUAUAUUAGAAAAUCAGCUGUAUAACUACCUAUUCUAUGUGUGUUCGAUAUCAAUAAAUAAGAUGAUUAGUUCAAAAGGUAAUAUGUGAUUUUUUGUACAUUUUCCAAUUAAUUGUUAGCAUUGAUAGAAACAAUUUGAUAAAAUGAUAAAUACUAAGUUAUUGAACGUUACUGCUAGGUUGGGAAUACCAUCGUUCUCAAUUGCUAUUUAAUUUGUAGUACAACAUUUGAAAUUUUUGUUUGAUUACAUACUGUUUGUGCCAUAUGAAAUUCAGAAGAACAAAAAUUCUAACUGGACAAUAUCUUUAAAUGACAGUGUGAUAACAGUGAGAGUAUAAGUCCUUAAGAAAUUAAACUGAUGCAUUCAUGAAAUAAUUACUGGACAAUUAUAAACAUACAAAUAUGUAUUUAAAAUUUCAACAUGUUGUAGUUUAUAUGUUUCUACAUUAAUUUGUAUUUGUGAUGUUGGGUUG